Molecule: long non-coding RNA, 2446 nt
Organism: Mauremys reevesii (Reeves's turtle)
Lineage: Eukaryota; Metazoa; Chordata; Testudines; Geoemydidae
Exons: 3
Source: RefSeq, a predicted model, not a curated record
AGCCUUGAUCCUGCAAGAACUUACAUGGGUACUUAACUUUAUGCAGCGAAUACUCUCUCUGAACUCAGCUCAUUGGGACUACUCACUUUGCAUGAAGAGCUAGAGACUCAUCACUUGGAAAGGGAAAAAAGAAGACGACAGACCUGGGAGUGUUGGGCAAUCACAAAUGACUAUGCGCCACCAAUGCAAUGUUGCUGCAAAAAAGCAAACACGAUCCUAAGAUCCAUCAGGACUCAGUGGCCUUGAUCCUUGACUGCAGCUGGGGAGUGCAUAGCCCAACUUGGGAGAAGAGGGUGUAUGUCGCCUGUAAGCCAUGUUCUUUGCUCCCCUAAUACACUGGAGGACCAGACUGGCCGACUGACUCUGAGUUAGAGCAACCUUCUGAUUGCUCUACCAUCAAGCCAAAACAGCAGUGAGCCCUAGAAUGGUGUAGACGGUGUUGCGCUUUUCUUCCCAGCUAUCCCCCCUGUGCCAAAAGAAAGAGCAGGAACCGCUGCACUAGCUCUGUGAAAGAACUUCCUAAAAGAGGAUGAUCUUCCUGGCUUUAGGGCCACUUAGCCCCAAUGCUAUGGGGGGCAAAGUGACUGCUGCAUGGCCCAGGAUGGGGUCAUGGUUUUAGUCAGUGUUUUUCAACUUGCUGAUGGCAGUUAAUGUUUAAAGGGAAGACUUAAGAUGCAGAAUCAUUUAAAAUGAUGUUAAUUCCGGGUGAACCCCAGCAGCUACGGAGUUGACUUUGGCUGGCCCCACACCGGUAUACUAGGCAAGCAGAAAAGGUGAAGGAGCCCUUUUCCAUCCUACAACUCACACGUAAGGUGCAGCCAGAAUUUGUCUGCAAGGCUGUUUGCUGGGCAUGUUGGGGAUGAGCAAGGACUGCCAGGAUACUCCCAGACAGGCCCCCUCAUGGCUGAUGGUAGACUAUGGACUCUCCCACGCCGCCCUGGCAGAGAAGCACUUGGCGAAUGCUAGCUAUGCUUUCUCAAAUAUGUAGCUAGAAUCAAUUCCUAGAUAAGUCCUCGUGGCAUCAGUGGAGUCUGUUUAUUUUUCAAAGGCAUAAUGAAUCCAGGCAACACUGCUUGAAUAAUGCACAUCUUUCCUAGUGUACCAUCACCUUGUAGGAGGCAAAAUUUGGUCCCAAUUGUACAAACGAUUGUGACAGAUUUAUGUUACCAAUCUGCCUGGGCCGUCAGGUGAUCAGGCUGAGGCUGCAAGAUCUUUAGGGGAGGAGAUGGAGGAGCACACCAAGUGAUUAAAUUUUAAAGCUUUUAUUAAUAAAAUAACAGUGGAGAGUGCUGGGGGUUCCCCAUGUCACUCAGAGGAAGGAAGAAAGUGUUAGUGCCCCAAAUCCUAACCCACUUUCGUACUCACACCUGCACUACCCGAGGCUGGCCAAGCCUGGGUGUAACAUAAGAAGAAGAGGGGGAAGGGUGGAUUGGAGUUCUUGUCCUGUGCAUGGGUCGUCCAGGGUCCACUGUUGAUCUCCGAUUUGCUUUGGCUUUCAGGAGGGUUUUAAGCUCUGGGUUCUUCUUGGGGCGUUUUGUCCAGGGACCUCUGUCCCUCGUGCUCUUUGUACCAGUCCAUACUGGCUUUCUGUGGCUUUCUCAGCUUUCCCAAAACACACUGGCUUCAGGGAUGCAAAAACUGUUGUUUUCCCCCAGGCUGGCCUUCGCUGUCCCACUUGUUUUUUGCAAUCUCUACAGUCCUGCUCAGUUUAGUUCUCCUUUUCUCAUGGCUGGCUGGGGUUGGCUAAGAUAGGAACACAGCUGCAGACUGCUUGUCGAGUGCCGUGACCUUGGACUGGGGCCAGCAACUUAUCUUCGGACUGGGCUAGCUGAAGUGUCGAGUUAACCCGUUCUCUGCUCUCUUCGGCCUCCCGCAACCUGCAAAGAAACCUUCCACUCCACACUCACAAUGCCUUGUGAAGCUUGCAACAGUGUUAGUAACAUACAAUGCUGACUUGCCUCCACAGGGGACCCCCCUGAGGGAGGGGGCCACUGGGUCGUGACACUAUUCCUCUUUCCAUGUUUCUGAGCCUCCCUAUUUGUACAAUGAAUCUAUUUAAUUGCUUGACUCUGUAUAUCUUUCUCCCAGUGUCUAAGAAGUUGGGGUGGUGAUCUCUAAAUAUAGAUGCACUGGGCUAAAUCUCAUGUUCUCCUUUGCAGCUGUAUGAACGUCAAUGGGGUUACAAUGGUGAAAACAAGAUGAGAUCUUGGCCCACAUGUUGAAUUACACAAGAAUGCAAUGUGAAUAGGUUUAAAUGGGAUGCAGCAAUCCCCAUUUUUAUGCUGUGGUUUGCAUUUAAUCUAAGCAAAGUAGGUUUCACUAAAACAUGUUCUGUAUUUGUUUUUAAGCAGAGAAUGUUUGAGGGAGGAUGUCAUAUAAGCACACUUACAUCUACCAAUGUGAUGUGUGCCAGCAAUGCCCCUCUGCCAUGUACGUUGGGCAAACU